Molecule: small nucleolar RNA, 84 nt
Organism: Oryctolagus cuniculus (rabbit)
Lineage: Eukaryota; Metazoa; Chordata; Mammalia; Lagomorpha; Leporidae
Gene: U3
Rfam family: Small nucleolar RNA U3
About the family: Small nucleolar RNAs (snoRNAs) are involved in the processing and modification of rRNA in the nucleolus. There are two main classes of snoRNAs: the box C/D class, and the box H/ACA class. U3 snoRNA is a member of the box C/D class.
Source: Ensembl
AAGACUAUACUUUCAGGGAUCAUUUCUAUAGUUUGCUACUAAAGACAAGUUUAUUUUCAUGCCAAGAAGUUUUGAAAUCCAUGA